AUGGAGUCCGCCUCGGCGCAAUCCGCCGCCGCCAAAAUUCCAAUCCCCACCCCCUCUCCUCCGAUAGCGCAGUCUGACUCCGACCAGCCCCCGAAGGCGAUGGCGACGGCGGAGGUGGAGGCAGCAAUCGCCGCGCUCCCGGCCAGGAAGGAGGCCUUGCGCGAGGCCUUCGACCGCCUCGCCGCCUGCUCGCCCUUCCCGCUCCCCUUCACCUGGGGCGAGCUCGACGUUCACAUCUCCUCCCUCCAGUCCUCCAUCUCGCUCCGCCACCGCCAGCUACGGGUCCUCGAGGGGGCCCGCUCCGCCCUCGCCGUUCCCGCACCACUCCCAACCGGCAAGCGCAAAAAUCAAGGAGACGAAGACACCACCAGCGAGGAGGAGGAGGUGGAGGAAGAGGAGUACGAGGAAGUGAUGGAGGAGGUGGAAGAAGAAGUGGAGGUGGAGGUGGAGGAGGAGGUGGAAGAAGAAGUGGAGGUGGAGGAGGAGGAUGCUGAUGAUGAGGAGGUGGUUGUGGAAGAGGAGGAGGAGGAGGAGGUCGUGGAGAUUGAAGAAGAUGAGGUAGAUGCCAACAAUGCGGCAGGCAAGCCGCAGAAGGACGGCGAGCAGAUGCUGGAAGCUGAAGAAGAGAAGGUGAAUGAGCAUAAGGUUUUGGAGGCCAGUGAUGAGGCCGAGAGGGACUGCAAGGUAGAGAAGGAUGAAGAGGAACCGCAGGUGUCUGACGAUGAGAUGGGGGAUGCCAAAGACGAGCAGCAGGAAGCCAAGAAGGUUUCUGUGAAAAAAGUGUGUAAUAAGGAUCUUGUAGCGGCAUGCUCUAGAAUGAACGUCGCAGGACUGGUGAAUAUCGUGUUUAACAACAACAUCGACCGUCAAGAGUACCCUGUGGCCAUGUGCAAUGCCAAAGAUGCCGCUGCUCUUGUCCUUGAUGUGGUUAGGAUCUUUCUGCCCAAAAAACAGACCAAGACCAACAGGAUCUGGGAGAACUGUGUUGCGCUGAUCCGCUGUGUGCCUGCUGUGUCACCCAAGCUUUCUGUGCGCAUGAUAGAUCAGGCCAAGCUGUUUGCCAAAUACUGGAAGAAGAAGAUCGGUGAGUCGGAGAUUUGUGGAGAUCAUGGCAUGCUGGACUCAUGGGCCUUCCUUAACUUCAUCAUUUCUUACAACAUUGUAUCAGAGUUUGAUGUCGAUGAGAUCAUCCGUCUCUAUGGCACUGUCCCACGCAAAUAUCAGAAGAAGAACUGCGUCAAUCUCUGCAAGGGUCUUGGUCUUGUCAGUAGGAUCAGCGACUUAAUUGAUUAUUUGAUUGAAAAUGGACAACAGUUGAGCGUCAUACCAAUGACACAGGUUCUUCAAUUGGUGGACAAAUAUCCACCACUUGCUCUUCUGGAGGGAUAUGUUGAGAAGGCAAAAGGGACUGCUCUAGAGUUACUUAGCAAGAAUGGAUUAGACAAGUCCCUGAAUCUGACCAUAUCAAAGGAGAUUGAGAAUCUUCGGCUUGCGGAAUCUAUGGUUAAACAGCAACUCACUGAUUCAAGAAAAUCGGUUACUAUCUUGGAAGAGAUUAACAAAUUGUUAGUUGAGUAUGCAAAGAGCCGUAUUACAACAAAUGCCUCUACUACAUCGACAUUAAAUUCAAGGCAGCAGCAAAAGACCCAACAGCAGAAGCAAAAGCAGAAAUACAAGAAGCACAAGAAGGAGCAGCAGCAACACGAGGGACAAGUUGGCCAAGUGCAGGGGAAACAAAGAAAGCUGGAAGGGAAACAGCUGUACUUAAACCAGCCAAGGCCAUGUGUUACCAAGCUACCAACUCCAACUGGUCCUUCCGCAAGAUCUCUAUCACCUGUGAUUCCGAAUGUGACACAGAUUGGCCCCAUUGGGCAUCGGCCGUUUGAUUUAAUGCCUGCAAUUCCUCUACCAUUUUUACCGGGAAUUCAAGGUGGGCCAGUUGCAGCAAAUGUCGUACCUACUCGGCAUAAUCCUUUCCAGCAAAAUCCUUUAUACCGCCAUCCGUCAUUCCACCCCUAG
Molecule: ribosomal RNA, 2019 nt
Filed under: Triticum aestivum (bread wheat)
Lineage: Eukaryota; Viridiplantae; Streptophyta; Magnoliopsida; Poales; Poaceae
Description: partial small subunit ribosomal RNA
Source: RNAcentral